AAAGCAAUGUGCAGCCAAGGAUGACUUGCCGACUCCGAUCACCAGCCGAUCUCUCUCCUUCGAUUCCCUCCGGUCCAAGGGGUCAUCGGCCACAAACCACUUUUUAUGUUGAUUCUGAAACUACGGUAUAAUGUACGGAGCUUAACUGCCAGAAGGGGGAGUGAUGAACCGUGCCGAUGAGUAGAGCGGGAUUUCGACCAUGGGGAGAGAGAUCAUCGAGUGUGGGCAAGUUGUUCUUGGCUACAUGUUUCUUUCU
Molecule: microRNA precursor, 256 nt
Filed under: Punica granatum (pomegranate)
Lineage: Eukaryota; Viridiplantae; Streptophyta; Magnoliopsida; Myrtales; Lythraceae
Source: RNAcentral